Bos taurus (domestic cattle) is the source of this 1238-nucleotide long non-coding RNA. NCBI's taxonomy places the organism in Eukaryota, Metazoa, Chordata, Mammalia, Artiodactyla, Bovidae. The record is from Ensembl.
ACCUAACUGUCACUAUCUUGCCUAGGGCACUGACCCCAAGGACAGUCCGACUUUCUAAAGAUUUUGCCACUGCUGGAGGAGCAGUAGGACCCUUCAACCUUAUGCUCCAAGAGGCCAGGUGGGGACCAGAAGUGGUUUCCGAGCAUGUGGUUAGAGUUCGUGGGAAGAGGAGGAGAAGGAAGGUCAAAGACACUGGAGGAUGUGGCAGCAGCCAAGCAACACGAAGGCUGUCACCGCUCCUGAAACGUCCUGUUUGGAACCACGGAGCCUGUCCCUGCCUGACAGCCCCCCACGCCAUUUCCAGACAUGCCAGAUGGCCUUGCUGACCUGCAUCCACUCAGUUGGAGCAGAAUGAGUCCCGUGUUGGCUUUGGGACAUCUUCUGCCGUGCACAUGGUGAUACCGGAAAGCUGACCUAUCUAGAGCAGAGAAGAAGCAGACACACAGCGAUAAACAGAGUGAUACAGGGCUUCUCGCCACCUGAUGUGAAGAACUGACUCGUUGGAAAAGACCCUGAUGCUGGGAAAGAUUGAAGGCGGGAGGAGAAGGGGACGACAGAGGAGGAGACGGUUGAAUGGCUCAAUGGACGUGAGUUUGAGCAAGCUCCAGGAGUUGGUGAUGGACAGGGAAGCCUGGCAUGCUGCAGUCCAUGGGGUUGCAAAGAGUUGGACACGACUGAGCUGAACUGAACUGAACUGAACCCUCUUGCUGGAGAUUGUGUUGAGGACCAAAGAGGGACAGACAUGAACAAACUAGAAGAUGAACAGGUCUGGAGGCUGGGAAGUCCAAGGUCAAGGUGCUGAUCACUUCCGUUCCUGCUGAGGGCCCUGUGCUUGGCUUAUGGACAGCUACCUUCUCGUCUGUGUGAUCAUUAGCAGAGAGACAGCUCCAGUGUCUCCUUCUCUUCUUACAAUGACACACUAAUCAUAUCGUGGAGGCCGCAUUCUCAUGACCUCAUCUAAACCUAAUUACCUCUCAAAGUCCCCACUACCGAACAUCAUUUUACUAGGGUUAGGGCUUUGACGUAUACAUUUUGGGUGAAAACAAACAUUCUGUCCAUGACAUACAUUUAUUAGGAAAAGAAACUCUCCUUAGUCUCACUCAAGGUCCAGACUUCCUCUUGAAAGAAGAGAUACUCCUUAAGGCUGUGCACUGGGUUAAGUUCUGACCUCCUACUUCCCCAAGGGCAGCCUGCCAUAUUGGAGUUUUUAAAGCAGGCUUUUUCAUAUCCUGGGGUGG